RNAcentral lists this ribosomal RNA (465 nucleotides) under uncultured bacterium. RNAcentral's name for it is "partial 16S ribosomal RNA". It matches the Rfam family "Bacterial small subunit ribosomal RNA", at positions 28 to 507 of the family's 1533-position model. The record is from RNAcentral.
GACGAACGCUGGCGGCGUGCUUAACACAUGCAAGUCGAACGGAAAGGCCCUGCUUGCAGGGUACUCGAGUGGCGAACGGGUGAGUAACACGUGGGUGAUCUGCCCUGCACUUCGGGAUAAGCCUGGGAAACUGGGUCUAAUACCGGAUAGGAGCCAUUUUUAGUGUGAUGGUUGGAAAGUUUUUUCGGUGUAGGAUGAGCUCGCGGCCUAUCAGCUUGUUGGUGGGGUAAUGGCCUACCAAGGCGGCGACGGGUAGCCGGCCUGGGAGGGUGGACGGCCACAUUGGGACUGAGAUACGGCCCAGACUCCUACGGGAGGCAGCAGUGGGGAAUAUUGCACAAUGGGCGCAAGCCUGAUGCAGCGGCGCCGCGUGGGGGAUGACGGCCUUCGGGUUGUAAACUCCUUUCGCUAGGGACGAAGCUUUUUGUGACGGUACCUAGAUAAGAAGCACCGGCUAACUACGUG